CAGUCGCCACGGGAAUACGUAGGGUGCAAGCGUUAAUCGGAAUUACUGGGCGUAAAGCGUGCGCAGGCGGUUAUAUAAAACAGAUGUGAAAUCCCCGGGCUCAACCUGGGAACUGCAUUUGUGACUGUAUAGCUAGAGUACGGCAGAGGGGGAUGGAAUUCCGCGUGUAGCAGUGAAAUGCGUAGAUAUGCGGAGGAACACCGAUGGCGAAGGCAAUCCCCUGGGCCUGUACUGACGCUCAUGCACGAAAGCGUGGGGAGCAAACAGGAUUAGAUACCCGAGUAGUCCCUGUCUCUUAUAC
Molecule: ribosomal RNA, 301 nt
Filed under: uncultured bacterium
Lineage: Bacteria
Description: partial 16S ribosomal RNA
Rfam family: Bacterial small subunit ribosomal RNA
Source: RNAcentral